GUCCUCGCUUAGGCAGCACAUAUAGUAAAAAGUUGGAAUGAUACAGAGAUUAGCAUGGCCCCUGCACAAGGAUGACACGCAAAUUUAUGAAGCCUUUCAUAUUUUU
Molecule: small nuclear RNA, 106 nt
Filed under: Sus scrofa (pig)
Lineage: Eukaryota; Metazoa; Chordata; Mammalia; Artiodactyla; Suidae
Source: RNAcentral